GUGCUCACUUCAGCAGCACAUACACUAAAAUUGAAACAGUACAGAGAUUAGCAUGGCCCCUGCGCAAGGAUGACAUGCAAAUUCGUGAAGCGUUCCUUAUUUUU
Bos taurus (domestic cattle) is the source of this 104-nucleotide small nuclear RNA. NCBI's taxonomy places the organism in Eukaryota, Metazoa, Chordata, Mammalia, Artiodactyla, Bovidae. The record is from Ensembl.